UACGUAGGGGGCAAGCGUUGUCCGGAUUUAUUGGGCGUAAAGAGCGUGUAGGCGGCCUGGCAAGUCCGCUGUGAAAACUCGAGGCUUAACCUCGAGACGUCGGUGGAAACUGCCUGGCUAGAGUCCGGAAGAGGAGAGUGGAAUUCCUGGUGUAGCGGUGAAAUGCGUAGAGAUCGGGAGGAACACCAGAGGCGAAGGCGGCCACCUGGACAAGCACUGACACUCAACUGCGAAAGCGUGGGGAGCAAACAGG
Molecule: ribosomal RNA, 253 nt
Filed under: uncultured bacterium
Lineage: Bacteria
Description: partial 16S ribosomal RNA
Rfam family: Bacterial small subunit ribosomal RNA
Source: RNAcentral